Molecule: long non-coding RNA, 274 nt
Filed under: Paramuricea clavata
Lineage: Eukaryota; Metazoa; Cnidaria; Anthozoa; Malacalcyonacea; Plexauridae
Source: RNAcentral
CCCUCUAAUAUUCACCUGCAAUUAAUAAUCCCCUCUAAUAUUCACCUGCAAUGUCUUUGCAGCACAAAAAAUGAGGAAAAAACAACAUCGCGAAGGCAAAAUGGCAUUAAGAAUUAUUUCUUUUCUGACUCAUUAACGCGACCUCGCAGUGUGAAAAAUAAGUACGUUAUUUUGAGGCACCUCGGGGAUAUGUGUUUAUUCACCUCGGCGCUGCGCGCCUCGGUGAAUAAAUCACAUAUCCCCUCGUUGCCUCAAAAUAACCUAUACAUAACAU